AGCGACAGGGAGGGAUGCGCGCCUGGGUGUAGUUGUGGGGGAGGAAGUGGCUAGCUCAGGGCUUCAGGGGACAGACAGGGAGAGAUGACUGAGUUAGAUGAGACGAGGGGGCGGGCUGGGGGUGCGAGAAGGAAGCUUGGCAAGGAGACUAGGUCUAGGGGGACCACAGUGGGGCAGGCUGCAUGGAAAAUAUCCGCAGGGUCCCCCAGGCAGAACAGCCACGCUCCAGGCCAGGCUGUCCCUACUGCCUGGUGGAGGGGGAACUUGACCUCUGGGAGGGCGCCGCUCUUGCAUAGCUGAGCGAGCCCGGGUGCGCUGGUCUGUGUGGAAGGAGGAAGGCAGGGAGAGGUAGAAGGGGUGGAGGAGUCAGGAGGAAUAGGCCGCAGCAGCCCUGGAAAUGAUCAGGAAGGCAGGCAGUGGGUGCAGGGCUGCAGGAGGGCCGGGAGGGCUAAUCUUCAACUUGUCCAUGCCAGCAGCCCCUUUUUUUCCAGACCAAGGGCUGUGAACCCGCCUGGGGAUGAGGCCUGGUCUUGUGGAACUGAACUUAGCUCGACGGGGCUGACCGCUCUGGCCCAGGGUGGUGGCAGUGCUCCUUUUGGACUUUUCUCUAGGUUUGGCGCUAAACUCUUCUUGUGAGCUCACUCCACCCCUUCUUCCUCCCUUUAACUUAUCCAUUCACUUAAAACAUUACCUGGUCAUCUGGUAAGCCCGGGACAGUAAGCCGAGUGGCUGUUGGAGUCGGUAUUGUUGGUAAUGGUGGAGGAAGAGAGGCCUUCCCGCUGAGGCUGGGGUGGGGCGGAUCGGUGUUGCUUGCCUGCAGCCAUCCAGCUGAAAGUUACAAAAAUGCUUCAUGGACCGUGGUUUGUUACUAUAGUGUUCCUCAUGGCGAGCAGAUGGAACCGGGAGACAUGGAGUCCCUGGCCAGUGUGAGUCCUAGCAUUGCAGGAGGGGAGACCCUGGAGGAGAGAGCCCGCCUCAAUUGAUGCCUGCAGAUUGAAUUUCCAGAGGCUUAGGAGGAGGAAGUUCUCCAAUGUUCUGUUUCCAGGCCUUGCUCAGGAAGCCCUGUAUUCAGGAGGCUACCAUUUAAAGUUUGCAGAUGAGCUUAUGGGGGGCAAUCUUAAAAAGUCCACAGCAGAUGCAUCCGGCUCGAGGGGCCAUCAGCUUUGAAUAAAUGCUUGUUCCAGAGCCCAUGAAUGCCAGCAGGCACCCCUCCUUUCCUGGGGUAAAGGUUUUCAGAUGCUGCAUCUUCUAAAUUGAGCCUCCGGUCAUACUAGUUUUGUGCUUGGAACCUUGCUUCAAGAAGAUCCCUAAGCUGUAGAACAUUUUAACGUUGAUGCCACAACGCAGAUUGAUGCCUUGUAGAUGGAGCUUGCAGAUGGAGCCCCGUGACCUCUCACCUACCCACCUGUUUGCCUGCCUUCUUGUGCGUUUCUCGGAGAAGUUCUUAGCCUGAUGAAAUAACUUGGGGCGUUGAAGAGCUGUUUAAUUUUAAAUGCCUUAGACUGGGGAUAUAUUAGAGGAAGCAGAUUGUCAAAUUAAGGGUGUCAUUGUGUUGUGCUAAACGCUGGGAGGGUACAAGUUGGUCAUUCCUAAAUCUGUGUGUGAGAAAUGGCAGGUCUAGUUUGGGCAUUGUGAUUGCAUUGCAGAUUACUAGGAGAAGGGAAUGGUGGGUACACCGGUAGUGCUCUUUUGUUCUUGCUUCGUUUUUUUAAACUUGAACUUUACUUCGUUAGAUUUCAUAAUACUUUCUUGGCAUUCUAGUAAGAGGACCCUGAGGUGGGAGUUGUGGGGGACGGGGAGAAGGGGACAGCUUGGCACCGGUCCCGUGGGCGUUGCAGUGUGGGGGAUGGGGGUAUGCAGCUUGGCACUGGUACUGGGAGGGAUGAGGGUGAAGAAGGGGAGAGGGUUGGUUAGAGAUACAGUGUGGGUGGUGGGGGUGGUAGGAAAUGCAGGUUGAAGGGAAUUCUCUGGGGCUUUGGGGAAUUUAGUGCGUGGGUGAGCCAAGAAAAUACUAAUUAAUAAUAGUAAGUUGUUAGUGUUGGUUAAGUUGUUGCUUGGAAGUGAGAAGUUGCUUAGAAACUUUCCAAAGUGCUUAGAACUUUAAGUGCAAACAGACAAACUAACAAACAAAAAUUGUUUUGCUUUGCUACAAGGUGGGGAAGACUGAAGAAGUGUUAACUGAAAACAGGUGACACAGAGUCACCAGUUUUCCGAGAACCAAAGGGAGGGGUGUGUGAUGCCAUCUCACAGGCAGGGGAAAUGUCUUUACCAGCUUCCUCCUGGUGGCCAAGACAGCCUGUUUCAGAGGGUUGUUUUGUUUGGGGUGUGGGUGUUAUCAAGUGAAUUAGUCACUUGAAAGAUGGGCGUCAGACUUGCAUACGCAGCAGAUCAGCAUCCUUCGCUGCCCCUUAGCAACUUAGGUGGUUGAUUUGAAACUGUGAAGGUGUGAUUUUUUCAGGAGCUGGAAGUCUUAGAAAAGCCUUGUAAAUGCCUAUAUUGUGGGCUUUUAACGUAUUUAAGGGACCACUUAAGACGAGAUUAGAUGGGCUCUUCUGGAUUUGUUCCUCAUUUGUCACAGGUGUCUUGUGAUUGAAAAUCAUGAGCGAAGUGAAAUUGCAUUGAAUUUCAAGGGAAUUUAGUAUGUAAAUCGUGCCUUUACUACAUGUGUGAUCUGAAAACCCUGCUUGGUUCUGAGCUGCGUCUAUUGAAUUGGUAAAGUAAUACCAAUGGCUUUUUAUCAUUUCCUUCUUCCCUUUAAGUUUCACUUGAAAUUUUAAAAAUCAUGGUUAUUUUUAUCGUUGGGAUCUUUCUGUCUUCUGGGUUCCAUUUUUUAAAUGUUUAAAAAUAUGUUGACAUGGUAGUUCAGUUCUUAACCAAUGACUUGGGGAUGAUGCAAACAAUUACUGUCGUUGGGAUUUAGAGUGUAUUAGUCACGCAUGUAUGGGGAAGUAGUCUCGGGUAUGCUGUUGUGAAA
Molecule: long non-coding RNA, 2974 nt
Filed under: Homo sapiens (human)
Lineage: Eukaryota; Metazoa; Chordata; Mammalia; Primates; Hominidae
Description: lncAB106.2
Rfam family: Nuclear enriched abundant transcript 1 conserved region 3 (bases 872-1030)
Source: RNAcentral